UACACUUCACAUGCUCAAGUGAUACUUUAGGCUUGGUCAUCCCAAUUUAUAAUAUCUAAAGACAAUGAAAAUCAAAGAUUUUGUGAUUAGCUUCUUACUUCUCUACUUGAGCUUAUUGCUUUGUAAAGGUUGUAGCUUCAAAAACCAUGCUAAGUUAUCUUAUCCAAUUCAUCAUAUUUUUUGUGUUACUAAAGCUUUUGCACUUAUUGAUAUAAUCUUGUGUAAGCUAAUGCACACUCUUUAUUUUGGAAGAGCCAUUAUUUUUUUAAAAAAUAUUUAUCAAUGAUCAUUCUUGCUUUACUUAUAUUUAUUUCUUAAUAAAAAAAAUUAUUUUUCUUUUCAUUCUUCACCAAUCAUAAGACCUUGAUAAAAAAAUUAACUUAAUAAAAAUAUUUUGAUAUUUUGGUCUAGUAGAAGAAACAAGUUUAUUUUCUAUAAGAUUCAAUAAUUUUGUGCAUAUAAUGGAAUUCAACCUCAAGUCACUAAUCUUUAUAAUCCAAUUAAAAAUAGAAUCAUAGAAUAUAAAAUUUACAUCUUAGUUGAAGCCGCUUACAAAUGAGCAAGACAACUCACUUCUCUAAUAUGUAUUGAAUUAAAGUGCUUUACUUAGCAUAUUACUUAUAAAAUUCUAGUUAUACUUCACCAUCAGAAUAUAUUAUCUUGUUUGAAUUCUAAAUAGAAAUAAAGCCAAAUUUCGAUUACCUACAUAUUUUUGAUUGCCUAGCUUACUCUUAUUUACUAACUAUGAAGAAAAAAUAAUUAGAUAUCAAAACUACUAAGUGUAAAAGAUAGUCAUAUUCGCUAAUAUAAUUAUUUAGAUAAAUUAAACUAGAUAGAAGUGAGUAGAAAUAGGUUAAAUUUUUGAUAUAUUGUUAAUAAGCUCCUUAUGAGUUUUGUAGACUUUACAUGUGUUUAUAAAUGCUCACUAGAUUGACAACUUGGCCAACAAGUUGGCUACAUGUUGUACAUUUAACAACUUUUAUUAUUAGUUGGCCAUUUGGCUCACAUGUUGAAAACUUACCAUAUAAAUUAGACAUAUGUUCUGCAAGUUGA
Molecule: long non-coding RNA, 1053 nt
Filed under: Physcomitrium patens
Lineage: Eukaryota; Viridiplantae; Streptophyta; Bryopsida; Funariales; Funariaceae
Description: long non-coding RNA (PPAT_LNC011084)
Source: RNAcentral